ACGGAAGGCAGCAGUAGGGAAUUUUCGGCAAUGGGGGGAACCCUGACCGAGCAAUGCCGCGUGAAUAAAGAAGGUCUUCGGAUCGUAAAGUUCUUUUAUGUGGGAAGAAUGGCGCGAAAGCGAGAUGACGGUACCACAUGAAUAAGCUCCGGCCAACCAUGUGCCAGCAGCCGCGGUAAUACAUGGGGAGCGAGCGUUAUCCGGAUUUAUUGGGCGUAAAGCGUGUGUAGGCGGUCUGUUAAGUCAGGUGUAAAAGGCAGUAGCUCAACUACUGUACGCACCUGAAACUGGCAGACUUGAGUAUGGUAGGGGCAAGUGGAACUUCUAGUGUAGCGGUAAAAUGCGUAGAUAUUAGAAAGAACACCAGUGGCGAAGGCGACUUGCUGGGCCAGAACUGACGCUGAGACACGAAAGCGUGGGGAGCAAACAGGAUUAGAUACCCUGGUA
This 447-nucleotide ribosomal RNA is filed under the name uncultured Erysipelotrichaceae bacterium. RNAcentral's name for it is "bacterial SSU rRNA". It matches the Rfam family "Bacterial small subunit ribosomal RNA", at positions 341 to 792 of the family's 1533-position model. The record is from RNAcentral. Lineage: Bacteria; Bacillati; Bacillota; Erysipelotrichia; Erysipelotrichales; Erysipelotrichaceae.